RNAcentral lists this non-coding RNA (189 nucleotides) under Desulfobacteraceae bacterium. Lineage: Bacteria; Pseudomonadati; Thermodesulfobacteriota; Desulfobacteria; Desulfobacterales; Desulfobacteraceae. The record is from RNAcentral.
GUGGCGUGAAUUUUUUCAGGUGUCCGCUUUGAGCGGAUGAAAAGGGAAUCCGGUGUAAAUCCGGAACGGGCCCGCCGCUGUAACUGGGGACAAUUAUUGCAUAAUGCCACUGUUUGAAGUUUGGAUGGGAAGGCGCAAUGAUUUGAUUGAUCCAGAAGUCAGAAGACCUGCCUGAAAAGUGAGUUUCGG